RNAcentral lists this long non-coding RNA (616 nucleotides) under Heterocephalus glaber (naked mole-rat). RNAcentral describes it as "lncRNA (ENSHGLG00100049821.1)". Lineage: Eukaryota; Metazoa; Chordata; Mammalia; Rodentia; Bathyergidae. The record is from RNAcentral.
GCGGAAGCCGGGCCGGCGACGCUUUCCCACAGCACCCCAGCGGCCCAGCCUACCCCGCGGCCCCAGCUGUCUCGCGGGGGAGUCCAGGCCCGGCCGGCCGCUUCGGAGUCCCUGUCUGAGCCCUCCUCCCAGCGAGGUCCAUCUCUGACAGUUUUCAGCGGCUUGUGCUUCUUUUUUUUAAAAAAAUGUUAUUAAUACAUGUUUUAGUAAUGUUUAUAAUGUUCACGUUCCUCUGUGGAGUUGGGAUGGCAGCCACCCCCCCUGGAGUGGAAUCAACUUGGAGUACGUCUCAAGGGCAUAGAAAUCAAGUAGGAAGUAUAGGGAUACCAUUCUUUCUCUUGGAUUUCUUCUGGGGAACUCAGUGUCAAAUAUGCAUGGUGUGCCUACCCCCUAGAGCCAAAGUAGAAUACAGAGGGAAGUAUUGAUUGUGAUGCUAUUUCACAACUAGACUCAUACUGCAAGAAAGAGAAAAUGGUCAAAAUUGCCUUAUGUUCAGACUUUCUUUGCACUGAGAAUUAAUCCUUGCUUGUGUGCAAAAUGUAAACGUAAGCCACAAGAAAACCAGAUACGUAGCCUUUAAGGCAUUCAGUACCACUGAGCCUGAGGCCAUUCUUCU